RNAcentral lists this ribosomal RNA (498 nucleotides) under uncultured bacterium. RNAcentral's name for it is "partial 16S ribosomal RNA". It matches the Rfam family "Bacterial small subunit ribosomal RNA", at positions 28 to 507 of the family's 1533-position model. The record is from RNAcentral.
GACGAACGCUGGCGGCGUGCCUAAUACAUGCGAGUCGAGCGGACGGAUGGGAGCUUGCUCCCAGACCGUCAGCGGCGGACGGGUGAGUAACACGUGGGCAACCUGCCUGUAAGACUGGGAUAACUCCGGGAAACCGGGGCUAAUACCGGAUAACUCUUUCCCUCACAUGAGGGAAAGCUGAAAGAUGGCAUCUCGCUAUCACUUACAGAUGGGCCCGCGGCGCAUUAGCUAGUUGGUGAGGUAACGGCUCACCAAGGCGACGAUGCGUAGCCGACCUGAGAAGGUGAUCGGCCACACUGGGACUGAGACGCGGCCCAGACUCCUACGGGAGGCAGCAGUAGGGAAUCUUCCGCAAUGGACGAAAGUCUGACGGAGCAACGCCGCGUGAGUGAUGAAGGUUUUCGGAUCGUAAAACUCUGUUGUCAGGGAAGAACAAGUACCGGAGUAACUGCCGGUACCUUGACGGUACCUGACCAGAAAGCCACGGCUAACUACGUG